UUAUUCUUCUUACUGAUAUUUAUGUGGACGGACUACAAGGAAUAGGUAUAAAUUAUAUUAGAUUGGUACCCGUCCGGCUAUUGUAAAAUCACUCGACUGGCAUAAAACACUCGUCAUUUAAAAGUCACGGGAUAUUAACUUCCAUAGUGGGGCUUAGUCUAUUACAUAAUUGAAGACAUUGCCUGUGAUAUCCAGACAAGAAGCCAAUUCCUUCAUGCCACCCUGUCCACCAUUUAUCCGUAAGAGAUUUUACAAAUACAAAUAUCAAACCACGAACAUUGUUGAUCCUGCCAAUGUAAUAUUACAAAACUCCAUACAACAACAGACUGUUCACACAGAACUUAUCUCUUAAACCAAGUUAUAGACUAAAAAUAAUAAAACGAAUGACAGACACACUUAUGGGCGAAUAUAGAUAAUUACAGACAACAUUAUAAACACAGGCACAAUGGGCGAAAAUUUUAAUAAUGGAUCGGUCGAUAUUCAGAAUGCUGAGGAAUGCUGCCGAAAAUACGCGAUUGUUUCCGCCGCAGAGUGGAUGCAAAGACAUUGAUCACAUUGUGUGUGUUACAUUACUAAUUAUUAACACAGUUGUUUUGUUUACCUUCCAAUCGCAACAAAGCCACUUUAUAUGACAGACGUGUUCCUAUGAGACAUGGCCGAAAGACGUGAGCUUUAUAAUGGCGGAUCAAUUCAAAAGAAACUUGUUUGUGUUUUUGGAUCGCUAAAUUCUACAUGAAAAUAGCGUUGGAUUAUUAUAAAUUUGUGUUGGAUGUGGUAAGAAAUGAUUCCUUUCCGCGAACAAAGAAGAAUCACGGUGAAAAAUAGAAGGCAAGGAUUCCAAAAUAGCUUUAGAACCUAGGUGGGGGGGGGGGGGACCUUAUUUUCAUAUUAGUUGUGUAUAGGAUCAGGCAGUAAUGGAUAGAGGACAGAGUCCGAUAAGAAUCCGUUACUAAAUUAACUAUAGUGAUAUCAGUGGUGCUGAUCAUAAAACUAUUAUUACAAUGACAUUUUGUAUUGUGUAUAAUGUAGACGGAGACUUUUUUCAGGGCAGUAUAGCGCCGUACCUCUGUUGGAAAUGUCUCGGGAUACUUCGAGUCCGCAUAUAUGUCAAUUAACUUCAUCUCUUUAUAAAAGACCUUCACAUGUUAAACUUGCUUUGCAUGUUUGGACCAUUCUGUGAACUCAGACAAUUUUGCGCAUCUAGUAAGUAUCGUUGACAGUAAGAUAAAUAUGGGUCACCUAUAAAGAUUGAAGAGAUUAUAUGUCAUUCUUGUUUAUUCUACGAGAUGGACCAAGUUCGUUAAUUAGCCUCUCUAUCUUUCUGUACCAGGAUCUUAAUAUUAAAAUUUAUUAUGAUUUGAAAUAUUUCAAAACAAGAAGACAUUUUCUCUAUAUCCUAUAACUUGAUGAUACUGUGCCCUACUUUUCUGCAUUUAUUCGCCAAAAAUAAACUUGAAAUAUGAACACAAAAACAAAAACCGAACAGGAACUAUAUGCCGCGAUGUAUCGUGUGACCCAGAGUACAAUAUGGAUGUUAGACUUUACUCAGAAUUGCAGAUCCACCGCUCAAAUGGCUUUACAUGCAACGAGUUUAUGUUUUUCGUCUUGCUCGUAGACAUGGCACGAAAGCACAUAAGCUUAUUUAUGCCAAUUUUAACCGAAUUGUGUAAGUGACUUCAUUUUGGAUACUAGUAGUUUCGUGCGUUUUUAUACGCCCACAUUGAAAUGUGGACGUAUAUUGCCGUCGCCCCCGCCCGUCCGUCCGUCGGUCCGUCGUCCACAAUUUCUUGUGAACGCUCUAACGCCAAAAGUUAUCAUCCACUUGUUUUAAAAUUGAUAUGUGUUGUUUACAUUAGUGAGAUGAAGAACCCUAUUUAAUUUCAAUAAUUUCCGUUUAUUACGUCUAGAGUUAUGGCCCAUGUUUCACUUUGUUGAACCUUGUGAACGCUCUAAUGCCAAAAGUUGACAUACGAUCUUUGUGAAAUUUAUAUGCAAUAUUUAAGUUAGUGAAACGAAGAAGCCUAUUGAAUUUCAACAAUUUCUGUUUAUUACGUCAAAGGUUAUGGCCCUUGUUUCACUUAAUUGAACCUUGUGAACGCGCGAACUCCAAAAGUUAUCAUCCGAUCUUUCUGAAAUUUAUAUGCAUUAUUUAAAUUAGUGAAACGAAGAAGCCUAUUGAAUUUUGGCAAUUUCCGUUUAUUACGUCUAGAGUUAUUGCCCUUGUUUCACUUUAUUGAUCCCUGUGAACGCUCUAACGUCAAAAGUUAUCAUCUUUACUGAAACGAAGAAGCCUAUUGAAUUUCAGCAAUUUCCGUUUAUUACGUCUAGAGUUAUGGCCCUUGUUUUACUUUAUUGAUCCUUGUGAACGCUCUAACGUCAAAAGUUAUCAUUUGAUCUUUCUGAAAAUUAUAUGGAUUAUUUAAAUUAGUGAGACGAAAAAGCCUAUUCAAUUUCAGCAAUUUCCGUUUAUUACAUCUAGAGUUAUGGCCCUUGUUUCACUUUAUUGAACCCUGUGAUCGCCCCAACGUCAAAAGUUAUCACCCGAUCUUUCUGAAAUUUAUAUGCAUUAUUAAGAUUACAGAAACGAAGAAGCCUACCAAAUUUCAGCAAUUUCCGUGUAUUACGUCUAGAGUUAUGGCCCUUGUUUCACUUUACUGAUCCUUGUGAACGCUCUAACGUCAAAAGUUAUCAUUCGAUCUUUCUGAAAAUUAUAUGCAUUAUUUAAAUUAGUGAGACGAAGAAGCCUAUUGAAUUUCAGCAAUUUCCGUUUAUUACGUCUAGAGUUAUUGCCCUUGUUUCACUUUACUUAUCCUUGUGAACGCUCUAACGUCAAAAGUUAUCAUUCGAUCUUUCUGAAAAUUAUAUGCAUUAUUUAAAUUAGUGAGACGAAGAAGCCUAUUGAAUUUCAGCAAUUUCCGUUUAUUACGUCUAGAGUUAUGGCCCUUGUUUCACUUUACUGAUCCUUGUGAACGCUCUAACGUCAAAAGUUAUCAUUCGAUCUUUCUGAAAAUUAUAUGCAUUAUUUAAAUUAGUGAGACGAAGAAGCCUAUUGAAUUUCAGCAAUUUCCGUUUAUUACGUCUAGAGUUAUGGCCCUUGUUUCACUUUAUUGAACCUUGUGAACGCCCCAACGCCAAAAGUUAUCAUUCGAUCUUUGUGAAAUUUAUAUGCAUUAUUUAGAUUAGUGAAACGGAGAAGCCUAUUGAAUUUCAGCAAUUUCCGUUUAUUACAUCUAGAUUUAUGGCCCUUGUUUCACUUUACUGAUCCUUGUGAACGCUCUAACGCAAAAAGUUAUAACCAGAUCUUUGUGAAAUUUAUAUGCAUGAUUUAAAUUGAUGACAGUUAUCAUCCGAUAUGUAUGAAAUUUAUAUGCAUCAUUUAAAUUUGUGAAACGGGCCUAUUGAAUUUCAGCAAUUUCCGUCAAUAAUUUCUAGAGUUAUGGCGAUUGUGAACGUUAGAAUGACAAAAGUGAUCAUGUGAUCUGUAUGAAAUUUGUAUGCAUUAUUUAAAUUAGUAAAACGAAAAAGCCUGUCAAAUUUUAACAAUUUCUGUAGAUUACUUCCAGAGUUGAGAACCUUGUUUCAGUUUGUAGAACCUUGUAAACCCUCAAACGACAAAAUUUAUAAUCUGAUCUGUGUGGAACUGUCUUGUAAAGGCCCCCAAUUACCUACAAAGGAAUAAAUAUAUGCAACAACCCUUGACGACCGCUCGGACGAUUUAGCUGCUGUGGGCGUAUGUUUUGUUGCCUGGCAACCUAUCUUUCAUAAACUUUUUCUGAGAGACUGUUCCAGAUGGCGUAAUAUAUAAAGUCUUGGGUGACCUCAUUGGUGGAUUAAUGGAUUAUUACCUGAUUACCUGGGAGCAAAUACUUGUGAACGAGAGGAUCAGAAAUGGGACAGAAUCUAGAGAUCUGCCUGUUUAGUGAGAGUUAGUAUAAGACCGUAGCGGGUUUGAAGAAUGAUGGCGCGAGACAAUCACCAGUCGUUCGGAUGGGAGGGACAACAAUAGUUUAAACAAUAUUUGAUUCAACAGUCUAAAUCGGAUUGAACAACAGAUCCGGGUAGCAGACUAUAUAAGCAACAGAGCAAACAACUUUGGCGAGACAUCACUACCGUGGAAGUAGACGUUAAAUAUCAACAAGAACAGAACAUAGGACGCGGGCAUUUAGCACAACAGGAGAUAUAAAGUUUACUUACAGUAUAUUGUUGUUGAUUGUUUAGAUACGGUGACACAAUGGUUUCUAAAGUAAAAGUAGUUAUUUCGCCCAUCUUUCUAGGCUUAUUAGUCGUUAGUUUAGCUUUGGCUACAGUAGAAUCAGAAAAGGUUUUUCUGGACAGUGAAUCGGCCAAAUCAUUUCACCGAGACAGAAGAUAUGUAAAUAUUGUUGAUGAAUUAAGAAGGGAAAGAGCUGAAGCUAACAGAAGAACUGCUGCAUAUUGUAGAAGUAUUGGAAAACGACAUUGCCCUUCUACAUAUGGUGGUAAUUGCUGUUAAAAUUUGGACAUUGUCUUAUAAAUAAGUGGCAUGACCCAGAUACCAUAAGAUCCAAAUUUAACCCAAGACUAAUAAAACAUAUUAUGAGUU
Molecule: long non-coding RNA, 4582 nt
Organism: Patella vulgata (common limpet)
Lineage: Eukaryota; Metazoa; Mollusca; Gastropoda; Patellidae
Exons: 7
Source: RefSeq, a predicted model, not a curated record